This is a long non-coding RNA of Sitodiplosis mosellana (orange wheat blossom midge), 352 nucleotides long. RefSeq lists it as uncharacterized. The transcript is spliced from 3 exons. NCBI's taxonomy places the organism in Eukaryota, Metazoa, Arthropoda, Insecta, Diptera, Cecidomyiidae. The record is from RefSeq and is a predicted model, not a curated record.
CACCAUUGGAAGCCGAUAGUAGGAGCGUAGCCGACACACUUCGAUUCUUCCAUUUCAUUUUGUUCUCUGAAUAAAGACAGUCGUCUUUUUGUGAAUUAAAAUGAGAGCUAAGUGGCGUAAGAAGCGUAUGCGUAGACUUAAGCGUAAGCGCAGAAAGAUGCGUGCCCGUUCCAAGUAAACUGGGGACCAGAUGCUCGAAUCAUAAUGAUUCCACAGAGAGCACAACCACACCGUUUGUUCCAAACAUUCAACACGGCGGUUGAAUGCGGCAUUUAUGACAUGAAAACUUUUUGAUUUCAAAACCUUUUUACGAAUAAAUCGUAUUUGAUUGCCACUAAAAAACAAACAAAAA